Molecule: long non-coding RNA, 1992 nt
Filed under: Homo sapiens (human)
Lineage: Eukaryota; Metazoa; Chordata; Mammalia; Primates; Hominidae
Description: HSALNT0060639
Source: RNAcentral
AAAGCCCACAGUGACCUCUGCCUGGCUACUGCUGAUGUUCACUCAAGGCCCCGAGCUCUUCAGUCAGCAGGUGGCAAAUCCAGCGAUGUUUGUGUCUUUCCCUUCAGGGUGGCAAGCUCCCCACCAGCCCAGGAAUGGUCCAGAAAUGCUGUUCAGGAGCCAGGGCCUGGAGUUAGGAACCUUAGAAAUCUGCUCUAUUCUACUGUGGCUGAGUUGGCACCAAAGCUGCAAGACAAAGUCCUUCUCACUCUUCUCUCUCAUUUCCUCAACCUGAAGGAGUCUUUCUUCACAGCCACCACCACCUCAGGCCUAUGCUUUUUACCAUUUAUGUAAAAUUAUGUGUGUGUCUGUACAUAGCCACAGAGGGCUAUGAAGAGAGAAUGCCAGCAGGCUCUCCAGCAUCAUCCACUAACACUUUCUAAGAUGACAGAAAUGUGCUACAUCUGCACUGUCCAAAACAGUAGCCGUGAGCCUCCUGAGCUGCUGAGCACUUGGAAUAUGAGUAAAAGUCUUUGCUGGUGCAUCAGAUUGGCAGAGCAUAGAUCACAUGUCUGUGCCCUAGCUGCAAGGGAGUCUAGGUAAGCAAGCCCUCUUCUAACACUUUCAGCUUCUGUUGGGAAGGUGACCAAAAGUUGGGAGCUCCCUGCAAAUAAAAAUGAACUUCAUGUGCUGGGCAGCCAAAAACAAAAGAUUUUUAAAAUAUACAAUAAAUGCCAUUUAAACUAGGGAAAGGCUGGGGAGAAAGGGAAACUAAUGUAAAAUUUUUAAGUAGACCUGGAUUCUGGACUCAUUAAAUACAUUUUAGGGGUAACUAGCUCUCUGAAACCUUGUUUUUGUAUCUGAAAUCAAAGUGUUGAAUCAGAUGAACUCUCUGGAUGUUGAUGCUGUGAAAUGUCACAUUCUCAGAUCAUCUCUGUGGUUGGCAUGACUUGAAACAAAGAAAAAGAAGAUCCCAUAAUUACGCUGAAAAAAUUAUUAUUUUUAUCUUAAGUCACCCCAAAAUUUGUAUUUAGAAAUGGACAAGGUAAACAUUUUUAUAGGAAUUUUUAUUUCUUCCUUUAAAGUAACUUGUCAGUAUUAUACUGUUGGUUAUUGGAUUUGAGAGAAGACCUUCUCUCUCCAGACCCAAAGCCAGUCAUCUUGUGUGCUCUGAAAUGGACCAGACUAUUUUUAAAAGGGAGAGAAAGAGGUGCCAUGAGGUGAUAAAAGGGACAAAAAAAGGUAGACUUUGUUUCUAUAAAAGUUUUUUGGAACAUGAUAGCUUUUUUCAUGUCAGCCAUACUCAGAGAUAAGUGGGAAAAACUCCUGUCUAGUUCUCCCACAUCUGCCAUGAAAGUUACUAGGGUUCUUAUAGGCUUUUCUUCUGAAUUACUAUAGCAUAUAUUUAGGAUUAUCCCUAUUUCAUCUGAAAGUUUUUAUUUAAAUGUACUGCUUGUUUGCACAUGUUUGUUUAAGUUUUGCUGAAAUCUUAAGUAUCAUUCUGUGACUUCUUAAUUUCUCUUCCUGUGGGGGGUGUUUCUCUUACUUCAUAAACUGAAGACAGGGCUUUCCAAAAAUGUUCACAUCCAAGCACUCAUAAAAAUUGUAUUUGUAUCUGAGGUUACUUCAGAUCCUGAGUUGUCCUGGGGACUCCAGCCUAACCACCCUGAAAACUGAGGGCACCAAUGAUGCUGCCAUCUGUCACUUUCGUGGUUCACCAGUGUGUGAGGCACUCCUCAGAAAACUCUGGCCUAAGCCCAUGGGAAAAAUUAAGUUUGAUAUACCAAAGCAGUCUUUACAUACAGUUUUCCAGGGAUGGGUCUGCUAAAGCAUGCAAUAUAUCAGAAAGGAUAGGUUUCAUGACAGUGAAGAGAAUGGCGGACUAGCCCAGAGGUCUGUUUCAGUGAACUGAAAUGGAUGAGGAAGCUGAGGCCCAGAGAGAUAAGUGACUUGGCCUAGGUCACACAGCCACUUGGCAGCAGGCCAGGCCGAGAUUGCCAGGUGAAGAACCCU